ACAGACAUUGAAAAAUGUUUGAAUGAUCAAAUCCAAGCUUCUCUACUAGCUUCUCUACAGUUACAAUGGGAUCUUGUUCCACCAGGGUUUGCAGGGCGUCCUCAUCAAACUUUACAGAUCUUCCAGAAUGAAGAUCGUCUUCUAGGCUGUAGUUUCUAGUUCAGAAUUUCUAGAACCACCAUUGACACUGGCUUAUGCU
This is a long non-coding RNA of Octopus sinensis (East Asian common octopus), 199 nucleotides long. RefSeq lists it as uncharacterized. The transcript has 3 exons. The record is from RefSeq and is a predicted model, not a curated record. NCBI's taxonomy places the organism in Eukaryota, Metazoa, Mollusca, Cephalopoda, Octopoda, Octopodidae.